RNAcentral lists this ribosomal RNA (327 nucleotides) under uncultured eukaryote. RNAcentral describes it as "partial 18S ribosomal RNA". It matches the Rfam family "Eukaryotic small subunit ribosomal RNA", at positions 1470 to 1796 of the family's 1831-position model. The record is from RNAcentral.
CCCUUAGAUGUUCUGGGCCGCACGCGCGCUACACUGACGAAUGCAACGAGCUUAUAACCUUGGCCGAAAGGUCUGGGUAAUCUCCAAAUUUCGUCGUGAUGGGGAUAGAUUAUUGCAAUUAUUAAUCUUCAACGAGGAAUGCCUAGUAAGCGCAAGUCAUCAGCUUGCGUUGAUUACGUCCCUGCCCUUUGUACGCACCGCCCGUCGCUCCUACCGAUUGAAUGGUCCGGUGAAGCGCUCGGACCGCGGCCUCUUGACGGUUCGCUGUCGAUUGGCUGUGGGAAGUUCGUUAAACCUUAUCAUUUAGAGGAAGGAGAAGUCGUAACA